This 770-nucleotide ribosomal RNA is filed under the name Cupriavidus taiwanensis. Its description in RNAcentral is "bacterial SSU rRNA". It matches the Rfam family "Bacterial small subunit ribosomal RNA", at positions 88 to 850 of the family's 1533-position model. Lineage: Bacteria; Pseudomonadati; Pseudomonadota; Betaproteobacteria; Burkholderiales; Burkholderiaceae. The record is from RNAcentral.
GCGGCGAGUGGCGAACGGGUGAGUAAUACAUCGGAACGUGCCCUGUCGUGGGGGAUAACUAGUCGAAAGAUUAGCUAAUACCGCAUACGACCUGAGGGUGAAAGCGGGGGACCGCAAGGCCUCUCGCGAUAGGAGCGGCCGAUGUCUGAUUAGCUAGUUGGGGGGGUAAAGGCCUACCAAGGCGACGAUCAGUAGCUGGUCUGAGAGGACGAUCACCCACACUGGGACUGAGACACGGCCCAGACUCCUACGGGAGGCGGCAGUGGGGAAUUUUGGACAAUGGGGGCAACCCUGAUCCAGCAAUGCCGCGUGUGUGAAGAAGGCCUUCGGGUUGUAAAGCACUUUUGUCCGGAGAAAAAUGGCCUGGGCUAAUACCCCGGGUCGAUGACAGUACCGGAAGAAUAUACACCGGCUAACUAUGCGCCAGCACCCGCGGUAAUAUAUAUGGGGCGAGCGUUAAACUGAAUUUCUGGGCGUAAAGCGCGCGCGCGCGGUUUGAUAAGACAGGCGUGAAAUCCCCGGGCUCUCCCUGGGAAUGGCGCUUGUGACUGUCACGCUAGAGUGCGUCAGAGAGGGGGAGAAUUCUACGUGUAUCACAGAAAUGCGCAUAGAUGUGGAGGAAUACCGAUGGCGAAAGCAGCCCCCUGUGACGCGACUGACACUCAUGCACAAAGCGUGUGGAGCACACAGGAGUAGAUAUCCUGUUAGUCUACGCGCUAAACGAUGUCACCUAUUAUGUUGUAGGAUUCUUAUCUUCACUAACAUAUCUC